ACUGGUCGGUGGCACGGAAGUCCUCCACCGCCCGACUGGCCGACUCCUUCGCCGACCUUGCUUCCUCUUCCGUCCGACCGAGCGAGUCCCUUGCCGACUCUGCUUCUGCCUUCGCUAUGUCGGCGUCGGCCUGAGCGAUUGACAUGUCCUCCUCGGCUUUGGCGAGCUUCUUCAUGCUGACCCAAAGCUGCUCGCGCUCGCCUUCGAGUUCGGCAGCGACGCCAUCCCGCUCGCGCCGCAGACGAUGCACGGUCCGGCC
RNAcentral lists this long non-coding RNA (259 nucleotides) under Elaeis guineensis (African oil palm). RNAcentral's name for it is "long non-coding RNA (EGUI_LNC075723)". The record is from RNAcentral. Lineage: Eukaryota; Viridiplantae; Streptophyta; Magnoliopsida; Arecales; Arecaceae.